This 2438-nucleotide long non-coding RNA is filed under the name Ananas comosus (pineapple). Its description in RNAcentral is "long non-coding RNA (ACOM_LNC004031)". Lineage: Eukaryota; Viridiplantae; Streptophyta; Magnoliopsida; Poales; Bromeliaceae. The record is from RNAcentral.
GCGCACACACACACACGCCACACACACGCAAGGAGAGGGAGGAAGAGAACUCUCCUUUCUCUCUCUAAAUCUCUCCCAAAAGAGAGGGUUUUGGUGGCGAUUGAAGCUCAAGGAUGGAUUUUCAUCUUUCCCAUCUUCUUCCUUGAAUGAGAAGCAAGCUUUGAAGGUAAGCUCCAAAACCCUUUAAUGGUAUCUCCUUGUAGUUUGGGUUUUAAGCUUCAAGAAUGGAUUUAGAGCUAUUCUAGCAUGCUAAAUAGGUGAUUGUUGCUUAAAUCAUGGAUCAAUUUAAUGAUUUCUUGCCUAGUUGUAAAUCUAGAACUUGAAAUGAGCUUUUUGAACCCUCUCAUGGUAGAUCUUUAAAGCUUCAUUUAUAAUCCAUAGAAAUGGUAUAUUUGGAAUCCUAGCAUGCUAAAUAGAGGAUAAAUACUAGAAUCUAGGAUCAAUUUAGUUAACUCUUGCAAUAGAUGAAACCUAGGGUUCAAAAUGCAAUUUUUGGAAAUAUGAGGGUUUGAUCUCAUUUGACCCUUUAUAAACAUAAUUGCUAGGUAAACGAACGCGCUGGCGAAGUCGGUUCGGCGAUUCGUCGAGCCGGUACGAAGUUAUUAAAGAAACGGACGUUUAGGCUUCAUUUCCGCCUGCAGGGCUGAGCGACAUCGUAUACUCAUGAAAACGGAUUUGAAGCAUCGUGGCACGGAUCGGGCCAAACCGGAUGCCGGGUGCCGCGGGAGGCCGAUUGCAAGUGUCGACAAGUAAUCGGAUUGCGAAAUGAGGUGGGUUGUGCUCAUCGAAGCGACUAGGUCGCCUAUAUAUCUAAGAGUAAUGGUUUUCUAAUUGAUGCAUAUAGUUUAUGUUAUUUACUGUUGAGAUAAAAUGCAUAAUGACAUAUAAUGUGUUAAAUGCUAGAUGAAUGCAUGAGUUAAUUGUCACAUGAAUGCAUGAAAAUAAUGUUAUAGUAAUAUGUUAGAGGUAAUAUGCAUGUUGAUAAAUUAUGGAACAUGUUGGAUGGCAUAUGAAUAGUUGGUAUAUAUAUGUAGACAUAUUGUGGAAUAUGAUGAAUGAGUGCAUGUUGAUUUAUUGUAGAAUAUACAAGAUGAAUGUAUAUUGACAUAUUGUGGAUUAUGUUAAAUGACACAUGCAUGUUGAACUUGGAUCGAUAAACUCUAGGUGAAUUAGAGAACUCGACAUUGGAAAACAAUGACAUAUGAACUAUGAUAUGUGACGUGGACAAUCUAUAUAUAUUAGAUCGAAUGGCAUAUGAUUAGUAUAGUGGAAACACUUAUGGCAUGUUGAACACUUAGAAAAUACGUGUGUCAUGAGUCCAAGAAUAUAGUAGUGCAUAUGACACAAAUGAUAGUAAAAAAUGCAAAGAAAAGAAUGAUUGAAAUAUUAUGACAUUUUAAUCCUAGAGUUUAGGGUCAUUUGAGCAUAGUCUUCCUAAAGUUAAGGAAUUGAUUAAACUUGGAGUCCUCAAAUGUAGGAUUGAUCAUACUCACUUUUAGUCCUUGCUCGAGGUUGUGGUAGCUCCCCCUCGGGCGAUGUGCUCCGGAGACAACAUCACUGGGUAUAGCGAGUAUCUCCCCAGAGGACCGUCCCAUCGGGUGUAGCGAGUAUCUCCCCGAUUAUUGGGAUUUUGAGUUGGUGAGUUUGUUGAGGGCGAAAUCUUCGGGUUAGCCAAGAGAUUGGGUAACAAGCACAUGAGUUGUAGCAAUAUCCUAGUUGAGUGGACUUAAGGCUGAGGUGCAAGUGAGACGUCCUUCGCCUCGAGCCUGGCUUUACGCGGUACUCCGCGAAUGAUUGACUCGAGACCGAGUCGGGUGGAUAGUUGAUAAAGGUAAAUGGGACCAUAUGAUCAGAAUUGUAAUUAAUAUGAAUUUAAAAUAGUGGAAUAACUUCGAAGUCAAUUAAAUGAGCUUUGAAUAGCAGGAUUAAAGUAGUAUCGAUUGAACUACUAAUUGGUUGCAUAAAUCGCAUGAUUUUCAUAUUGCAUGGUUGUGAGGCAUGACAUGUAUUUCAAUUAUCAUAUAUAUAUAUAUAUAUAUAUAUAUAUAUAUAUAUGUGUUGGAUAUUUGUUGGACUAACAUGUUGCAGUGCCUCCUUGGACCUGUGGGUCGAGCUCUUCCCUUGGGUGGUCGUACCCACUGGGAACAUAUUUAUAUAGUUAUCACCCCUGUGUUGUUUUUGGGGGUACAGGUUCCCACGUGAGGGGCGCGGCGGCGCGAGGAGAGGGCGUAGCUCCGUAGAUAGCGCCCUACCACCGAGACCAGAGAUAGCGGUACCCUGAGUCGGCCUUUACUUAGGGAUGUAAGAAAACGAAAAGAAUCAAGUUGUAAUAAUUUUGAUUGUAUUUGGAAGUUAAAUGUAAUAAGUAUUUGUGAUGUAAAAUGUAUCUAGUGAUUGAGAAUGCUUGUAAUAGCAAGUAGAUUAUGUUAUUGAUCCUU